ACGCUGGCGGCGUGCCUAAUACAUGCAAGUCGAACGGUCUUUCUAUGGAAGCUUGCUUCCGCUGAGAAGAUAGUGGCGAACGGGUGAGUAACACGUGGGUAACCUGCCCAUAAGAGGGGGAUAACAUCCGGAAACGGGUGCUAAUACCGCAUAGUUCCUUGAUCGCAUGAUCGGGAAAGAAAAGACGGCCUUUGUGCUGUCGCUUAUGGAUGGACCCGCGGCGUAUUAGUUAGUUGGUGAGGUAACGGCUCACCAAGACGAUGAUACGUAGCCGACCUGAGAGGGUGAUCGGCCACAUUGGGACUGAGACACGGCCCAAACUCCUACGGGAGGCAGCAGUAGGGAAUCUUCCGCAAUGGACGAAAGUCUGACGGAGCAACGCCGCGUGAGUGAAGAAGGUUUUCGGGAAUCGUAAAACUCUGUUGUCAGAGAAGAACAAGUUGGAGAGUAACUGCUCCAGCCUUGACGGUAUCUGACCAGAAAGCCACGGCUAACUACGUGCCAGCAGCAGC
RNAcentral lists this ribosomal RNA (512 nucleotides) under uncultured bacterium. RNAcentral's name for it is "bacterial SSU rRNA". It matches the Rfam family "Bacterial small subunit ribosomal RNA", at positions 33 to 518 of the family's 1533-position model. The record is from RNAcentral.